RNAcentral lists this long non-coding RNA (438 nucleotides) under Elaeis guineensis (African oil palm). Its description in RNAcentral is "long non-coding RNA (EGUI_LNC037462)". The record is from RNAcentral. Lineage: Eukaryota; Viridiplantae; Streptophyta; Magnoliopsida; Arecales; Arecaceae.
ACCCAAUCGAGUUAUACCCGAUCAAGGGACUGGAUACCCAUGACGAGUUGGAGGAGUGAGCAGAGCUCGUCGAGGACCUUAUCUCAAUUCCACUGGUGGAUGAAAAUUUAGAGCAUAUGAUCCAGAUUGGAUCAAAUCUGGAUUAGGUAAUGAAAACCUAGCUAACCUCAUUUUUGCAGAUGAAUUUGGACAUCUUCGCUUGAAAACUAGCAAAUAUAUCAGUCAAAACUUGAUCCAUCAGUGAUCAUGCACCGACUGAACAUGAGCCCAAAGUACUGCCCCUUCAAGCAAAAGAAGAGGAGUUUCACCCCAGAAUAGUAGAAGGCCAUGGCCGAGAAGGUGGAUAAGCUGCUUCAGGCAGAUUUUAUUAAAGAGAUAACCUAUCUAGAGUGAAUAGCUAAUGUGGUCAUGGUGAAGAAGGCAAACGAUAAAUGGCGG